UGGUGAGAUAACAGCUCACCAAGGCGACGAUGGGUAGCCGGCCUGAGAGGGCGGACGGCCACACUGGGACUGAGACACGGCCCAGACUCCUACGGGAGGCAGCAGUGGGGAAUAUUGCGCAAUGGGGGCAACCCUGACACAGCAACGCCGCGUGAAUGAAGAAGGUCUUCGGAUCGUAAAGUUCUGUCGAAGGGGAAGAAAUAAAUGACGGUACCCUUAGAGGAAGCCCCGGCUAACUACGUGCCAGCAGCCGCGGUAAUACGUAGGGGGCAAGCGUUGUCCGGAUUUACUGGGCGUAAAGGGCGUGUAGGCGGUUUUUUAAGUCAGAUGUGAAAGUUCGGGGCUCAACCCCGGAAUUGCAUUUGAAACUGGAGAACUUGAGUACUGGAGAGGUAAGUGGAAUUCCUAGUGUAGCGGUGAAAUGCGUAGAUAUUAGGAGGAACACCAGUGGCGAAGGCGACUUACUGGACAGAUACUGACGCUGAGGCGCGAAAGCGUGGGGAGCGAACAGGAUUAGAU
This 519-nucleotide ribosomal RNA is filed under the name uncultured microorganism. RNAcentral describes it as "bacterial SSU rRNA". It matches the Rfam family "Bacterial small subunit ribosomal RNA", at positions 250 to 783 of the family's 1533-position model. The record is from RNAcentral.